RNAcentral lists this unclassified non-coding RNA (21 nucleotides) under Mus musculus (house mouse). RNAcentral's name for it is "oocyte_clustered_small_RNA12322". Lineage: Eukaryota; Metazoa; Chordata; Mammalia; Rodentia; Muridae. The record is from RNAcentral.
ACCACAGUUCUUGCAGGAUGA